UUGUUGGCAUGGUUUUGUAAGUUGAAGUAUGUGUUGUAUCCGGUUUUGCACUCAAGGACGAAUUUCAAACUCAGCGAUAAACUGAGGGACCUAGAAUGAACUUAUUCCUUUUCCAUCUCCCGGUGUGAGCCUCCUCUAUAUCGGCCAGCAACUAUUCGUUGGGCCGUCAAGUUGGGCCAGUGCUACUAUUUCCUACUCCCUCUGUACAAAAACAAAAACAAAAAAAGGAAAAAGUACACCCAAGGUCCCUCAACUUGUCAUUGUGUUACAAAAUCAUCCCCCAACCGCAAAACCAGAUACCGGACAUCCUCAACUAACAAAACCAGAUCCUUCGG
RNAcentral lists this unclassified non-coding RNA (335 nucleotides) under Oryza sativa (Asian cultivated rice). RNAcentral's name for it is "partial microRNA MIR458e precursor". The record is from RNAcentral. Lineage: Eukaryota; Viridiplantae; Streptophyta; Magnoliopsida; Poales; Poaceae.